This 465-nucleotide ribosomal RNA is filed under the name Vreelandella stevensii. RNAcentral's name for it is "partial 16S ribosomal RNA". It matches the Rfam family "Bacterial small subunit ribosomal RNA", at positions 338 to 795 of the family's 1533-position model. Lineage: Bacteria; Pseudomonadati; Pseudomonadota; Gammaproteobacteria; Oceanospirillales; Halomonadaceae. The record is from RNAcentral.
CCUACGGGUGGCUGCAGUGGGGAAUAUUGGACAAUGGGCGAAAGCCUGAUCCAGCAAUGCCGCGUGUGUGAAGAAGGCCUUCGGGUUGUAAAGCACUUUCAGUGGGGAAGAAAGCCUUGGGGCUAAUACCCUCGAGGAAGGACAUCACCCACAGAAGAAGCACCGGCUAACUCCGUGCCAGCAGCCGCGGUAAUACGGAGGGUGCGAGCGUUAAUCGGAAUUACUGGGCGUAAAGCGCGCGUAGGCGGUCUGAUAAGCCGGUUGUGAAAGCCCCGGGCUCAACCUGGGAACGGCAUCCGGAACUGUCAGGCUAGAGUGCAGGAGAGGAAGGUAGAAUUCCCGGUGUAGCGGUGAAAUGCGUAGAGAUCGGGAGGAAUACCAGUGGCGAAGGCGGCCUUCUGGACUGACACUGACGCUGAGGUGCGAAAGCGUGGGUAGCAAACAGGAUUAGAUACCCUGGUAGUC